RNAcentral lists this ribosomal RNA (419 nucleotides) under uncultured bacterium. Its description in RNAcentral is "bacterial SSU rRNA". It matches the Rfam family "Bacterial small subunit ribosomal RNA", at positions 29 to 431 of the family's 1533-position model. The record is from RNAcentral.
AACGAACGCUGGCGGCGUGCCUAACACAUGCAAGUCGAGCGGGAAAGUUCCCUUCGGGGAGCGAGUACAGCGGCGAACGGGUGAGUAACACGUAGGUAACCUACCCUGGAGAUCGGGAUAACCUGCCGAAAGGCGGGCUAAUACCGGAUAAGACCACGAGGGCUGCGGCCCUUGAGGAAAAGAUGGCCUCUGCUUGCAAGCUAUCACUCUGGGAUGGGCCUGCGCGCCAUUAGCAGUUGGUGAGGUAACGGCUCACCAAGGCUGAGAUGGCUAGCUGGUCUGAGAGGAUGGCCAGCCACACUGGGACUGAGACACGGCCCAGACUCCUACGGGAGGCAGCAGUGGGGAAUAUUGGACAAUGGGCGCAAGCCUGAUCCAGCGAUGCCGCGUGUGUGAAGAAGGCCUGCGGGUUGUAAAGC